UAACGUCAUGUCCGAAACGGCCU
RNAcentral lists this non-coding RNA (23 nucleotides) under Arabidopsis thaliana (thale cress). Lineage: Eukaryota; Viridiplantae; Streptophyta; Magnoliopsida; Brassicales; Brassicaceae. The record is from RNAcentral.